RNAcentral lists this ribosomal RNA (289 nucleotides) under uncultured bacterium. RNAcentral describes it as "partial 16S ribosomal RNA". It matches the Rfam family "Bacterial small subunit ribosomal RNA", at positions 773 to 1060 of the family's 1533-position model. The record is from RNAcentral.
GUGGAUUAGAUACCCCAGUAGUCCACGCCCUAAACGAUGCGAACUGGAUGUUGGGUGCAAUUUGGCACGCAGUAUCGAAGCUAACGCGUUAAGUUCGCCGCCUGGGGAGUACGGUCGCAAGACUGAAACUCAAAGGAAUUGACGGGGGCCCGCACAAGCGGUGGAGUAUGUGGUUUAAUUCGAUGCAACGCGAAGAACCUUACCUGGCCUUGACAUGCACGGAACUUUCCAGAGAUGGAUUGGUGCCUUCGGGAACCGUGACACAGGUGCUGCACGGUCGUCGCCAACU